RNAcentral lists this ribosomal RNA (403 nucleotides) under uncultured bacterium. Its description in RNAcentral is "bacterial SSU rRNA". It matches the Rfam family "Bacterial small subunit ribosomal RNA", at positions 356 to 773 of the family's 1533-position model. The record is from RNAcentral.
GGGGAAUAUUGCACAAUGGGCGAAAGCCUGAUGCAGCAACGCCGCGUGAAGGAUGAAGGGUUUCGGCUCGUAAACUUCUAUCAACAGGGACGAAAAAAAUGACGGUACCUGAAUAAGAAGCCCCGGCUAACUACGUGCCAGCAGCCGCGGUAAUACGUAGGGGGCAAGCGUUAUCCGGAAUUACUGGGUGUAAAGGGAGAGUAGGCGGCAUGGUAAGUUAGAUGUGAAAGCCCGAGGCUUAACCUCGGGAUUGCAUUUAAAACUAUCAAGCUAGAGUACAGGAGAGGUAAGUGGAAUUCCUAGUGUAGCGGUGAAAUGCGUAGAUAUUAGGAAGAACACCAGUGGCGAAGGCGACUUACUGGACUGAAACUGACGCUGAGGCUCGAAAGCGUGGGGAGCGAAC